CUGAGCUGGCGAUGAGGGAUGAACCAGACUUUGGGAUUUUGGACCUACCUUUCCUCUACUGACACCCAUAAAGGGUGAUGAUUGAUAUAGCCAGCAGGACGGUGGCCAUGGAAGUCAGAACCCGGUAAGGAGUGUGUAACAAAUCACAUGCCGAAUCAAUCAGCGCCGAAAAUGGAAGGCGCUUGAGCGGGGGACAUAAGCCCAACCGUUGUUGGCUGGUACGAGUCGUGCGUCAGGCCUCAAAGCGUAGGAUGUCGCGGCGGUUAGAGUGGAAGGUUUAGGUAUUUCGAACUCUAGCUCAGUG
This is a non-coding RNA of Pristionchus pacificus, 304 nucleotides long. The record is from Rfam. NCBI's taxonomy places the organism in Eukaryota, Metazoa, Nematoda, Chromadorea, Rhabditida, Neodiplogasteridae.